This is a long non-coding RNA of Maylandia zebra (zebra mbuna), 349 nucleotides long. RefSeq lists it as uncharacterized. Lineage: Eukaryota; Metazoa; Chordata; Actinopteri; Cichliformes; Cichlidae. The record is from RefSeq and is a predicted model, not a curated record.
UCAGAAGGUUGUUCUCAUCCAUCCAGAUGGAGGAUCACUAACAGGAGCGUGGAAGACUCCAGAAUCCACUCUGGCUGCAAUCCGGUGGAUAUGCAGUGUGUACAGGUAUAGUACGUGAUAUCAAGGGCAGGCGGUCAACACUGGGGGUAGACAAGAAGCAGACGUACUUCCAAGAAGGAGCUGCAGUGAGGUCAGAGGAGGCGCUGGAAGGUUUCCCUAAUAGUUCCUGGUGAAUCAAAGCAGAACCAUAAAGGUUGCUGGACUGCAUGAUGGCCUUACCCCUGAGCCGUCAUCCUGUUAAAGGAGGAACCAGUUAGAAACUGUUUUCAAAGUAGCUGAGCAGAUUUCA